Molecule: ribosomal RNA, 462 nt
Filed under: uncultured bacterium
Lineage: Bacteria
Description: partial 16S ribosomal RNA
Rfam family: Bacterial small subunit ribosomal RNA
Source: RNAcentral
GAUGAACGCUGACAGAAUGCUUAACACAUGCAAGUCAUUGGCGAAGCUGCGCUUGCGCAGUCUAGCCAAGGCGGACGGGUGAGUAACGCGUAAGGAACUUGCCCUGCAGACAGGGAUAACAGACGGAAACGACUGAUAACACCUGGUAUUGUCAGGCUGGCGCAUGCCGGCCUGAUGAAAGGAGACGCUGCAGGAGAGCCUUGCGUCCUAUUAGCUAGUUGGUGGGGUAACGGCCCACCAAGGCGAUGAAAGGUAGCCGGCCUGAGAGGGUGAACGGCCACAAGGGGACUGAGAUACGGCCCUUACUCCUACGGGAGGCAGCAGUGGGGAAUAUUGGACAAUGGGGGCAACCCUGAUCCAGCAAUUCUGUGUGCACGAAGAAGGUUUUCGGAUUGUAAAGUGCUUUCAGCAGGGAAGAAGAAAGUGACGGUACCUGCAGAAGAAGCGACGGCUAAAUACGUG